GAAAGAUAGGCGUUGAUGUGUUUAUAGAGAUGGAUUGAAUAAAUUCAUCGUCAAACAAAAUAAGAGACAACGUAUAUAAAACUCUUGAUUGCUGUGUAUAUAUACUAUAUGCUAAUCAGGGUAACUUAUGUAUGUAGAUGUCUGGUGGAAAAGAUAUGUGGAAUAAGAAGGAUCAGAUCCAUACCCCCAAGCUAAUAUCGAGGCCAAUAGCGGGAAUAGAAGCUCAAAAGGAGAGAAUGACAGAUAAUGAUUCAGACAUUAACGUUGAAGCUGAUCAAGCAUCAAUGAAAGUGCAGGAUCUGGAGAACAAGGUUUCUUUACUAGAAAGGUUGUGGGAGAAAGAAAAGUUGCUACGUCGUCAUUAAUAGAAACAAUGGAAGAACAUGAUAAGCUUAAGAUCCAAAUUGACCAGAUGGGAGCCUCAAAUAACACAUCGUGUGCAGUUCCGAGACGUAAGGGAAAAAGAAAGAUAGAAGAUCCUGACUUAGGAAAACCUGAUAAGAAGAAAGGGAAGAAGAUAUGUUAUAUUUGCGGCUGNNNN
RNAcentral lists this long non-coding RNA (541 nucleotides) under Panax ginseng (ginseng). RNAcentral's name for it is "long non-coding RNA (PGIN_LNC011697)". The record is from RNAcentral. Lineage: Eukaryota; Viridiplantae; Streptophyta; Magnoliopsida; Apiales; Araliaceae.